This 254-nucleotide ribosomal RNA is filed under the name uncultured bacterium. RNAcentral describes it as "partial 16S ribosomal RNA". It matches the Rfam family "Bacterial small subunit ribosomal RNA", at positions 524 to 776 of the family's 1533-position model. RNAcentral also lists the same sequence under 1 other name. The record is from RNAcentral.
GACGUAGGGUCCAAGCGUUGUCCGGAUUUACUGGGCGUAAAGCGCGCGUAGGCGGUCUGUUAAGUGCACAAGUGAAAGCUCCGGGCUCAACUCGGAAAUUGCUUUGCAUACUGGCAGGCUGGAGGGACGCAGAGGUCUGUGGAAUUCCUGGUGUAACGGUGAAAUGUGUUGAUAUCAGGAGGAACACCCAUGGCGAAGGCAGCAGACUGGGCGUUUCCUGACGCUGAGGCGCGAAAGCGUGGGUAGCAAACAGG